GACGAACGCUGGCGGCGUGCUUAACACAUGCAAGUCGAACGGAAAGGCCCUGCUUUUGUGGGGUGCUCGAGUGGCGAACGGGUGAGUAACACGUGAGUAACCUGCCCUUGACUUUGGGAUAACUUCAGGAAACUGGGGCUAAUACCGGAUAGGAGCUCCUGCUGCAUGGUGGGGGUUGGAAAGUUUCGGCGGUUGGGGAUGGACUCGCGGCUUAUCAGCUUGUUGGUGGGGUAGUGGCUUACCAAGGCUUUGACGGGUAGCCGGCCUGAGAGGGUGACCGGCCAAAUUGGGACUGAGAUACGGCCCAGACUCCUUCGGGAGGCAGCAGUGGGGAAUAUUGCACAAUGGGCGGAAGCCUGAUGCAGCAACGCCGCGUGCGGGAUGACGGCCUUCGGGUUGUAAACCGCUUUCGCCUGUGACGAAGCGUGAGUGACGGUAAUGGGUAAAGAAGCACCGGCUAACUACGUG
RNAcentral lists this ribosomal RNA (468 nucleotides) under uncultured bacterium. RNAcentral's name for it is "partial 16S ribosomal RNA". It matches the Rfam family "Bacterial small subunit ribosomal RNA", at positions 28 to 507 of the family's 1533-position model. The record is from RNAcentral.